This is a long non-coding RNA of Bradysia coprophila, 823 nucleotides long. The record is from RefSeq and is a predicted model, not a curated record. NCBI's taxonomy places the organism in Eukaryota, Metazoa, Arthropoda, Insecta, Diptera, Sciaridae.
CAAAUUGUCAUUAUUAGUUAGUGUUGGCAAAAUAACUCAAAAGAGAUAAGUCAGACAAUUUAAAAGUGUAGCAAUCACACCAAACUCUGGAACUAGCUUCGUGUUUAUUACAAUUAGAAUGUACCAUAAAGGCAACGGAUCAUUUCGUUGUCACCAUUAACGACUCUGAAUCUAAUAAAAUCAAUAAAUUCGAGGCAAUGAAUAGCUUCAAUGCUGGAAAUAGAUAGAUCAAUGGAUCCGGAAUCGAGUUCUCAACGUGCUAUUGUAACAGAUGAUAAUGAUGUUAGAAAUGAAAGAAUAAAGAAGGGAAAGUUCGUGGUUCUCUUGAUUUUUUUCGUUGGUACAUCUAUCGGGCAUAUUAUUACAAUAGCAUUGGGUGUUCCGAUGUUAAGGCAUUGUCAUAAUGUUGCUUUAAUAGUCAUGAUUCUCGGAACUGUCCUGGGAAUUUUGCAGCAAAUUCCAGAAUUUUACCGCAAUUUCAUCCAAAUUAAACCAGAAAAUGUAGCUUACGUAAACUACUCCUUGGCCAUCAUCGUCAUCAUUCGUGUUGCUUGGUUGAUAACGGCUACUGUGACAAUUGUAACCUCAAAAUGCGACAAUAUAACUCCAGCCUGGAUAUGUAUUUCAAUUAACUGGGCUCUAUUUGGAUUUAUUGUGAUUAUUAUCGCAGCAGUGACGGUUGUUAAGUGUGUCAAAAAAAGAGGUCGACGCUACGAUGACUAAGACUUUAUUUCAAUUGAUUUAUUGACAGAAUGUUGAAUUGUACAGUAGUUGUUAAGUUUAAUAUUUAUAUCAAGUCCGAAUAAACUACAAGUCGAAAGUA